Molecule: ribosomal RNA, 253 nt
Filed under: uncultured bacterium
Lineage: Bacteria
Description: partial 16S ribosomal RNA
Rfam family: Bacterial small subunit ribosomal RNA
Source: RNAcentral
UACGAAGGGUGCAAGCGUUAAUCGGAAUUACUGGGCGUAAAGUGCGCGUAGGUGGUUCAGUAAGUUGGAAGUGAAAUCCCCGGGCUCAACCUGGGAACUGCUUUCAAAACUGCUGAGCUAGAGUACGGUAGAGGGUGGUGGAAUUUCCUGUGUAGCGGUGAAAUGCGUAGAUAUAGGAAGGAACACCAGUGGCGAAGGCGACCACCUGGACUGAUACUGACACUGAGGUGCGAAAGCGUGGGGAGCAAACAGG